AGUGCUAAACACUAUAUUCAUUACUUAUUUGGUGUGCAUUGAAUCAUUGACUGCUGCACUCACUAGCUAGUAGCUACUGUAUGUUCCUCAUGACCAAUUGAGACAUGGCUGAAAUGCAUACUGCAAUAUUUGUUUUUCAAAAGUGAUGUUGCAUUUUUGGUUAACUGGAGUCUGCAAGUAUUAGUUCACUGGAGAAAGAGCAACAACAUACUGUGAAUGUCUUAUGAUUUUGUGGUCUCUUUAGACUUUGUGGUCUCUUUUGGUAGGUGGCGAACAGGCUCCAAGCUCAUGUGCAGCUGUACAUAUUUUCUAAUUUUGAAAUUGGAGAUUGUAAUUUGUAAGAUGUUUAAUGUGCUAGUAAAAUUCUACAUCAGAUCUCGUCUCUUCGCCAGAUGUGUAAUGUGCUGCAUAAUUUCCAUUGCAGACGUAUCACCAACGGUUUCUGUUCAACUCUUGCUACCUAUUGCCUUCGAGCAACUGCAAAGAGGAGCACCAAGUCUGAUGUUUGUUCACGUCAACAACAACUUGAGUCUGAACUUGAGAGUCCGAAGCAAGGUGGUAAUCAGAAGCAAGUAGCAAAUCUUAGGUUACCAGGAUGAGUUGCAUUCUUUGAGAUUUUAAUACUGUAACAUGUAUCUGUCUGGAUUCUUGUAAUUGUGGAGUACUAUAUGGCUAUCUGAGAUUAAAUAUAAAUUAUUUGAUUUUAAAUUUGCUUUGGGCUA
Panicum virgatum (switchgrass) is the source of this 722-nucleotide long non-coding RNA. RefSeq lists it as uncharacterized. Lineage: Eukaryota; Viridiplantae; Streptophyta; Magnoliopsida; Poales; Poaceae. The transcript is spliced from 3 exons. The record is from RefSeq and is a predicted model, not a curated record.